RNAcentral lists this ribosomal RNA (254 nucleotides) under uncultured bacterium. Its description in RNAcentral is "partial 16S ribosomal RNA". It matches the Rfam family "Bacterial small subunit ribosomal RNA", at positions 524 to 776 of the family's 1533-position model. The record is from RNAcentral.
UACGUAGGGCGCAAGCGUUAUCCGGAAUUAUUGGGCGUAAAGAGCUCGUAGGCGGUGUGUCGCGUCGGCCGUGAAAACCUGCAGCUCAACUGUGGGCUUGCGGUCGAUACGGGCAUCACUGGAGUUCGGCAGGGGAGACUGGAAUUCCUGGUGUAGCGGUGAAAUGCGCAGAUAUCAGGAGGAACACCGGUGGCGAAGGCGGGUCUCUGGGCCGAUACUGACGCUGAGGAGCGAAAGCGUGGGGAGCAAACAGG